AGCAGCUGUCGUAGCAUUGGCUGAAUUUACAGUUUUAAAAACAUCCCAAAGCCUUCGAGAUGAUUUGCGUCAUCUUUUACCACGUGUUCACGGAAUAUAAACCCUGUCAUUGGUGUUAAAUAGUUGAGGUGUUGGACUGGUUUUGGUGAGAGGUUUUAACUUCAUGAAACUGACAAAAACUUAUAGGUAGCACAAGAGCAGCUCUGUGUCCCGAGACUCGAGAGAAUAGCUUAUUUUACACAACAACGACGCUUUUUUUUAGAUGGAAGUCGCACUGUAAAACUUUGGGUUUUUCACACCGGAGUCAGAUCAUGUCAACAGCGGAAGACGCAGAGUUGCGCAUGCGCAGUGAGCAGCAGACAUGUGUACCCGCAGGCUGGAGGAGAGAGAUGAGAGAGAGACAGAGCGGAAAAACAGCUGGAAGAGUCGACGUUUACAUCAUCAGUCCUCAGGGCCAGAGCUUCAGAUCCAAAACUCAACUCCACCGAUAUCUGCUCUCUGAAACAAACACCGACCUGCAAUUAAGUGACUUUGACUUCUCAACAUCCAAAAACCACAGUAGAGAACAUCAGACCAAACCAAACGGUCAACAGAAAAAGAAAAGAAAACUCAAGGUCAAAUCAAAUAUUACAGAAAAUUCUCAAAAAUGUAUGUCAAAUGAAGAAAUGGAAGAAGAGAAAAGCAGAGAUGAAGAACAGAGUGGUCUAGAAGACAUGGUCAAAAGAAGCUGUACAGCAAACCAUUUCAAUCCAACAGCAGAUGAACAUACAGAGAUUCCUGCUGUAACACUGCAGUCUGCUUCAGAGAGUCAAGAACAACAUCUGUUAGAGACGACGGGAGAAAAAGAGGAUGAACUUAUAGGAGAAAAUGAUCACAGGGAAUAUCCGUCACCUUGUAGAGACACAAAAAACAGGUCCAAGUUCUUGGUAGAGAAACGGAAAACAAGUCCAUACUUCAGUAGAAGGAAUGAUGGUUUGAGUCCUCCAAAGCGUAAGGCCUUCAGGAAAUGGACUCCACCGCGCUCACCCUACAAUCUGGUACAGGAGACACUGUUUCACGACCCCUGGAAGCUUCUAGUGGCCACAAUAUUCCUCAACAAGACCAGCGGUAAGAUGGCGAUCCCCACACUGUGGCAGUUUUUUGAGCGUUAUCCAAGCGCAGAGGUGACUCGUAUGAGUGACUGGAGGCUGCUGGCUGAACUGCUACAGCCACUGGGUCUCAGUAUACUACGAGCCAAAACACUCGUCCGCUUCUCUGAUGAGUAUCUUAAUAAAUCGUGGCGGUAUCCCAUUGAGCUACACGGCAUCGGCAAAUAUGGCAAUGACUCGUACCGGAUCUUCUGUGUGGAAGAGUGGAGAGAGGACUCAACACAGAUGGAGAUGAAGGAGCCACUGCCAUCCGCCUGGAGCCAGAGGAACCGCUGUCGUCCGCCAGGGGGCAGAAGAGUGGCUGAGGACCGGGUGUGCAGUGUGACCGCAGGAGCUGGAGAAGAGUGUUUCCUUUUCUCUCUCUCUCUCCUCUAUCUCUUUCUGUCUCUCCGGCUUUCUCUUUCUCUCUCCCCUCCCUCUCCUUGUCUCUCAGAUUUUCAGUUUGCGGGGAGGACCACAGGGUGACAGAAAGGCCGAAAGGGCAGCAUCUCCCCUCCAGAGAUGGGGGAGGGGGGGAGCGGGGGGUAAGUUAAUCCGGAUGGUGCCCCGGCCUGAAUUGCGUGGUGGAGGAGUGUGACGAGGAGGAGGGUGUGGCCGGACCGUGAGGAUGCACACCGUCGCUGAGUUGUCUAAUCAGCAGGAGGGAAAUAAGACGAACAGAGAUCCUUUACAUUGGUGCUGAAUCCUGUGACUGGAGGAGGAGGGCGUGUCUGGGCCGAGAAGAUGCACACUCUGUGCUGAGUUGCCCAAUUAGCGGAACAGAGAUAAAAGGAGGAGCCGGGAAUGCCAGAGAGAGAGGGACAAGUGGUGUGUUUAUGCUGCUGUGUUUUCAGUUUGAUGUUCUAUCUAGUUAAAGUCUUGUUGAAUGUGGAUCCAGCUCCCGUGUCCUCCUUUCCCAACCGAACAGAGAUCCUUUACAGUCUGCUUUUCUCUCACAGAACAACCUAAUUGACAGACAUCAGUCUGGAUUCAAAAAAGAACACUCAACAGAGACUGCCCUCUUGUCAAUAGCUGAAACCCUGCGACUGCAAGAGCUAACACCAAAUAAUCCAUCCUCAUUCUUCUUGAGUUUUCUGCUUCCUUCAACACAGUGAAAUUCCCCAGUUCUCCAAGUUAGCAGAGUGUAUCAAUAUAUAUCAAAGACAGGAUGGCUGAAAAUGUCCUUCUAUUCUGACAGAACAGAGGUAUAGAUUAUUGGAUCAAAAACCAAUAAAAAUAAGAUAUAAGCUUAAGCUAGAACAUAAUUUGUCUCUCAACAGAU
Xyrauchen texanus (razorback sucker) is the source of this 2409-nucleotide RNA transcript. It is a transcript of the gene named methyl-CpG-binding domain protein 4-like, with no coding region annotated. NCBI's taxonomy places the organism in Eukaryota, Metazoa, Chordata, Actinopteri, Cypriniformes, Catostomidae. The record is from RefSeq and is a predicted model, not a curated record. The transcript has 8 exons.